GGCAACGUAGAUAAAUGGGAAAUCAAGGUGUAUAAAAAAACACUCGCUUUCUGGGCGGUGUAGGUUCGAGUCCUACCGUUGCCACCA
RNAcentral lists this transfer RNA (87 nucleotides) under Herbiconiux daphne. RNAcentral describes it as "tRNA-Phe". It matches the Rfam family "tRNA". Rfam says of the family: Transfer RNA (tRNA) molecules are approximately 80 nucleotides in length. The record is from RNAcentral. RNAcentral also lists the same sequence under 1 other name. Lineage: Bacteria; Bacillati; Actinomycetota; Actinomycetes; Micrococcales; Microbacteriaceae.